This is a long non-coding RNA of Bombus impatiens (common eastern bumble bee), 1291 nucleotides long. RefSeq lists it as uncharacterized. The record is from RefSeq and is a predicted model, not a curated record. The transcript has 3 exons. Lineage: Eukaryota; Metazoa; Arthropoda; Insecta; Hymenoptera; Apidae.
UUACCAAAGUAUUUGAACACUCAAUUACUCGCUAUCUCGGUACUACCCAAACAAUACUUAGCGAGACUAUCUUUAACACAAAUUAUAUGCUCAAGGCUACGACUCGUGCGGUAUAUAUUAACAUUCUAUGAAAUACAUAUUUCUGAUAAAUAUCUUCCAACUUCUAUAUAAAUUGUCAGAUCGGUUUCAAAUUUGACCAGUAUAAUCGGAGCAGACGUAUCCCGUUACAUUGAAAUUUCGAAAUGUAUUAUGCAACACGUACACGAUAUACGCAUACAUCAAUGUUUCCUAUCGCGAGUGUUCAAAUUACUUUCGUCGGCUACUGUAUAUGUGCGAGCGACAAAGUAAAUCUGUAUUCAUAGAGCACGACAGGACGACGAGAGGCGAUUCAAUAGACCAGCCACGGACGAGUCGAACAAAUCGAACGGAGGAUGCUUUAUAUAGCGAAAGAACGCGUAUAUCGCGUAUUGCGUCUUCGAAUGGACAGUCCUCGGACGGAAACCGCGUCGCGUUGAUUUAUAAUGCGAUACCUAUUGACGGCUGUCCAUGGAAAACAAGGUGCGUGUGUAAGGCCUUACACGUAUACACGUAAAUGAAUGUGUCUGUAUGCAAGGUUAUUGUGCGAAGUGUUCAGUUGAAAUCUGGGGUAAAAUAACCAGACGUCUAUAAUGCCGCUGUCCGCAAGAGACUCAAAGGGGAGAUGGAUUUACUUGGCUUAUUCCGAAAUUGGGUAUCGGUAAAAAAGUAGCGAAAAGAAGCAAUCGACGGAAGCCAAUUUAUCGUUGAUCGAAGUCGAUCUACGUGAGAAAUAACAAACGAAACAGCGAAAAAAGGAUUUGAGUAACCGCAAUGUGGAUAACUUAUCGGAAGUAAAACUUGCAGCGAAGAAAAAAUGGAAAAGUAAAAAGACUGGAAGAUAAAGUCGUGACGAAUGGAAAAAAGGUCUGGUGCAUCGACAAUGAUCAUGUUACUACGUCGGAAAUUCUGUCUUCAAUUGAAGAUAACAUCUACUACUGCCUACGAUCGUGCGGUAAGUUGCUUAAGUUGCAAAGCAAGAAACUGCACAGGGGAAUCACGUGCAACGUGAUUAGGAAAUUUUCCUUGGAGAACAAAUCAGAAGGAAAUGGUAGCUGACGAGUUUAAGUUAAACGAACCUAAUGUUACGUUUACGAGGAAUAAAUGUCUCAAUUAAGAAAAAGGUUUAUUCUGUUGAUAAAACAAGCGCGAAAGAAUACACAAUUAGAGAAUCGUAUAUUUACUGUCUAUGUAUUAUCUUGAUUAUUAAAAUACC